RNAcentral lists this transfer RNA (72 nucleotides) under Simulium aureohirtum. Its description in RNAcentral is "tRNA-Val". It matches the Rfam family "tRNA". From Rfam's summary of the family: Transfer RNA (tRNA) molecules are approximately 80 nucleotides in length. The record is from RNAcentral. Lineage: Eukaryota; Metazoa; Arthropoda; Insecta; Diptera; Simuliidae.
CAAUUUAAAGCUUAUUGAGUAAAGUAUUUCAUUUACAUUGAAGUGAUAGUUGUGCAAAUCAACUUAAAUUGA